GUAAAACUGGAGAAACUGGAAUAAUGCAAUGAGGAAUCAAUCCCAUCUGGAACACACAGAUAAACACGUAGACUCAAGUGCCCACAUGAUCACCACAGCAAGAGUACCUGCUGAUAAGCCAGUCCGAAUUGCCUUCAGUCUAAAUGACUCCCCAGGUACAGUUCAAUUUUAUGGAAUAAAUGCAAAUGAAAUGUUUCUAGGUUUUAUAUGU
RNAcentral lists this long non-coding RNA (211 nucleotides) under Terrapene triunguis (Three-toed box turtle). Its description in RNAcentral is "Terrapene carolina triunguis (Three-toed box turtle) lncRNA (ENSTMTG00000020427.1)". The record is from RNAcentral. Lineage: Eukaryota; Metazoa; Chordata; Testudines; Emydidae.